RNAcentral lists this long non-coding RNA (302 nucleotides) under Elaeis guineensis (African oil palm). RNAcentral's name for it is "long non-coding RNA (EGUI_LNC073215)". The record is from RNAcentral. Lineage: Eukaryota; Viridiplantae; Streptophyta; Magnoliopsida; Arecales; Arecaceae.
GGGGAUCUAUAAGCCACUUUGAUAAUUGUGAUCCAGAUAAAAUGAGUAUUAUAGAGCCUGAAGACAUGAUGGACUAGUUAGGGUAUAAAAAUUGUACCCAUUUCCACUACCUUAUAUCGGGGCACAGCUUUGAGAGUGGCUUGAAGGAGCUUAAAUAUGAUACAGAUAUUUUUGAGUAUACUGGAGGUAGUGAGAGGGAAUGAUGUAGUGCAAGUCUAUGUAGAGCACAAGAUGAAUGAAGUCUCUAAGUAAAUAUCUUAUGAUAUCAUUUGUCAUAUAUAUAUAUAUAUAUAUAUAUAUAU